RNAcentral lists this ribosomal RNA (584 nucleotides) under uncultured bacterium. Its description in RNAcentral is "partial 16S ribosomal RNA". It matches the Rfam family "Bacterial small subunit ribosomal RNA", at positions 355 to 1375 of the family's 1533-position model. The record is from RNAcentral.
UGGGGAAUUUUGGACAAUGGGCGAAGCCUGAUCCAGCAAUGCCGCGUGUGUGAAGAAGGCCUUCGGGUUGUAAAGCACUUUUGUCCGGAAAGAAAUCCUUGGCUCUAAUACAGUCGGGGGAUGACGGUACCGGAAGAAUAAGCACCGGCUAACUACGUGCCAGCAGCCGCGGUAAUACGUAGGGUGCAAGCGUUAAUCGGAAUUACUGGGCGUAAAGCGUGCGCAGGCGGUUUGCUAAGACCGAUGUGAAAUCCCCGGGCUCAACCUGGGAACUGCAUUGGGUGACUGGCAGGCUAGAGUAUGGCAGAGGGGGGUAGAAUUCCACGUGUAGCAGUGAAAUGCGUAGAGAUGUGGAGGAAUACCGAUGGCGAAGGCAGCCCCCUGGGCAAUACUGACGCUCAUGCACGAAAGCGUGGGGAGCAAACAGGAUUAGAUACCCUGGUAGUCCACGCCCUAAACGACGUCAACUAGUUGUUGGGGAUUCAUUUCCUUAGUAACGUAGCUAACGCGUGAAGUUGACCGCCUGGGGAGUACGGUCGCAAGAUUAAAACUCAAAGGAAUUGACGGGGUCAUAGCUGUUUCCU